UGCUGUCCUAACAAUCAGGAAUGGGUUAAAGUGGAAAUCUGAGAAUCAUGAUAGAUUCAGUUUUUUAACAAUUUAUUUUAGUUUUGUAACUUUUUUUGGAUAUCCUUUUUUUUUACCAUAGCAUAUGUAACUAAAUUAAGACACAGCUGGGGUGCUAACGUGUCCCGGAUUUUGUGGGUCUGUCCUGCGUCCUGGGUACAAUGUAAUGUCCCGGAAUGAGCGAGGCCCCAUAUUAGUGAAGAGGGGCCCCAUUUGCGAUGUGCGUGCAGCAACCCUCCCUCACUCUCUUCCCUCCCUCUGAAGUCCCAGUGCUGCUAGGAAGUGAGGUCACACGCAAUGACGUAGCUUCUUCCCAGCGCUCUUUGCAGAUAACCGUGCGGGAGGAAAGACAGAGCAGCUCCCCUCCCAGGACCAGGUAAGUGAGGAAUACAUAAACACUGCUUUGGAAGCAAGGUCUGAUCCCGCACUCCUAAGGUUAGAAACAAUACGCAAACUGGUUUUCAUUUCCAGUUACGCAAAUAAAUGUAUGACUCAGUCUAAUGUAGAACUAACAUGUCUUACUCAGUGGUUUAAAUAGGCAACUAUUAGGAUUGGCCAAUCUAAUAUGGCUCUUUCCAAAUAUUCGCAAAAG
Pelobates cultripes (western spadefoot toad) is the source of this 631-nucleotide non-coding RNA. The record is from the annotation of a GenBank genome assembly. Lineage: Eukaryota; Metazoa; Chordata; Amphibia; Anura; Pelobatidae.